Molecule: transfer RNA, 72 nt
Filed under: Blumeria graminis f. sp. tritici JIW2
Lineage: Eukaryota; Fungi; Ascomycota; Leotiomycetes; Helotiales; Erysiphaceae
Description: tRNA-Cys (GCA) (tRNA-Cys-GCA-5-1)
Rfam family: tRNA
About the family: Transfer RNA (tRNA) molecules are approximately 80 nucleotides in length. Their secondary structure includes four short double-helical elements and three loops (D, anti-codon, and T loops).
Source: RNAcentral
GCUGCGGUAGCUCAGUGGUAGAGCGGAUGAUUGCAGAUCCUCAGGUCCUGUGUUCGAACCACAGUCGUAGCU